GACGAACGCUGGCGGCGUGCUUAACACAUGCAAGUCGAACGGAAAGGCCCUGCUUUCGUGGGGUGCUCGAGUGGCGAACGGGUGAGUAACACGGGAGUAACCUGCCCUUGACUUUGGGAUAACUUCAGGAAACUGGGGCUAAUACCGGAUAGGAGCUCCUGUUGCAUGGUGGGGGUUGGAAAUUUUCGGCGGGUGGGGAUGGACUCGCGGCUGAUCAGCUUGUUGGUUGGGUAGUGGCUUACCAAGGCAUUGACGGGUAGCCGGCCUGAGAGGGUGACCGGCCACCUUGGGACUGAGAUACGGCCCAGACUCCUACGGGAGGCAACAGUGGGGAAUAUUGCCCAAUGAGCGGAAGCCUGAUGCAGCAACGCCGCGUGCGGGAUGACGGCCUUCGGGUUGUAAACCGCUUUCGCCUGUGACGAAGCGUGAGUGACGGUAAUGGGUAAAGAAGCACCGGCUAACUACGUG
RNAcentral lists this ribosomal RNA (468 nucleotides) under uncultured bacterium. RNAcentral's name for it is "partial 16S ribosomal RNA". It matches the Rfam family "Bacterial small subunit ribosomal RNA", at positions 28 to 507 of the family's 1533-position model. The record is from RNAcentral.